GGCUCUGUAGUGAAGUUCAUAGUGAGUUGCAAGCUCAUUGAUGUGCAUUAACCGUGUACCGGAGUCU
RNAcentral lists this transfer RNA (67 nucleotides) under Icterus mesomelas (yellow-tailed oriole). Its description in RNAcentral is "tRNA-Cys". Lineage: Eukaryota; Metazoa; Chordata; Aves; Passeriformes; Icteridae. The record is from RNAcentral.